Molecule: ribosomal RNA, 906 nt
Filed under: uncultured archaeon
Lineage: Archaea
Description: bacterial SSU rRNA
Rfam family: Archaeal small subunit ribosomal RNA
Source: RNAcentral
CCCCACUGCUAUCGGGAUGGGACUAAGACAUGCUAGUCGUGCGUCUCCAAGCCAUGGCGGAGACGCGGCGCACAGCUCAGUAACACGUGGCUAACCUGCCCUUAGGACGGGGACAACCCCGGGAAACUGGGGCUAAUCCCUGAUAGGUGAGGGUUCCUGGAAUGGGCCCUCGCCGAAAGGGCGCCUAGACCAUGCUUCUAGGCGCUGCCCAAGGAUGGAGCCGCGGCCGAUCAGGUUGUUGGUGAGGCAACGGCUCACCAAGCCUUUAACCGGUACGGGCCGUGAGAGCGGGAGCCCGGAGAUGGGUACUGAGACAAGGACCCAGGCCCUACGGGGCGCAGCAGUCGCGAAAACUCCGCAAUACGCGAAAGCGUGACGGGGCUAUCCCGAGUGCCGUCCGCUGAGGAUGGCUUUUCCCUAGUGUAUAAAGCUGGGGGAAUAAGGAGAGGGCAAGCCUGGUGUCAGCCGCCGCGGUAAUACCAGCUCUCCGAGUGGUGGGGAUGCUUAUUGGGCCUAAAGCAUUCGUAGCCGGUUGGGCAAGUCCUCCGUUAAAUCCAGCGAUUCAAUCGUUGGACUGCGGGGGAUACUGCCCGGCUUGGGGGCGGAAGAGGCCGACGGUAUUCUCGGGGUAGGGGUGAAAUCCUAUAAUCCCGGGAGGACCACCAGUGGCGAAGGCUGUCGGCUAGAACGCGCCCGACGGUGAGGGAUGAAAGCUGGGGGAGCGAACCGGAUUAGAUACCCGGGUAGUCCCAGCUGUAAACGAUGCAGGCUAGGUGUUGGCGCGGCUACGUGCCGCUCCAGUGCCGCAAGGAAGCCGUUAAGCCUGCCGCCUGGGAAGUACGACCGCAAGGCUGAAACUUAAAGGAAUUGGCGGGGGAGCACCACAAGGGGUGAAGCUUGCGGUUU